Molecule: ribosomal RNA, 301 nt
Filed under: uncultured bacterium
Lineage: Bacteria
Description: partial 16S ribosomal RNA
Rfam family: Bacterial small subunit ribosomal RNA
Source: RNAcentral
CAGUAGCCACGGUAAUACGGAGGAUCCAAGCGUUAUCCGGAAUCAUUGGGUUUAAAGGGUCCGUAGGCGGUCUUGUAAGUCAGUGGUGAAAGCCCAUCGCUCAACGGUGGAACGGCCAUUGAUACUGCAGGACUUGAAUUAUUGGGAAGUAACUAGAAUAUGUAGUGUAGCGGUGAAAUGCUUAGAGAUUACAUGGAAUACCAAUUGCGAAGGCAGGUUACUACCAAUUGAUUGACGCUGAUGGACGAAAGCGUGGGUAGCGAACAGGAUUAGAUACCCGAGUAGUCCAUGUCUCUUAUAU